This 465-nucleotide ribosomal RNA is filed under the name Vreelandella stevensii. RNAcentral describes it as "partial 16S ribosomal RNA". It matches the Rfam family "Bacterial small subunit ribosomal RNA", at positions 338 to 795 of the family's 1533-position model. The record is from RNAcentral. Lineage: Bacteria; Pseudomonadati; Pseudomonadota; Gammaproteobacteria; Oceanospirillales; Halomonadaceae.
CCUACGGGAGGCUGCAGUGGGGAAUAUUGGACAAUGGGGGGAACCCUGAUCCAGCCAUGCCGCGUGUGUGAAGAAGGCCCUCGGGUUGUAAAGCACUUUUAGUGAGGAAGAACGCCUGGUGGUUAAUACCCAUCAGGAAAGACAUCACUCACAGAAGAAGCACCGGCUAACUCCGUGCCAGCAGCCGCGGUAAUACGGAGGGUGCGAGCGUUAAUCGGAAUUACUGGGCGUAAAGCGCGCGUAGGUGGCUUGAUAAGCCGGUUGUGAAAGCCCCGGGCUCAACCUGGGAACGGCAUCCGGAACUGUCAAGCUAGAGUGCAGGAGAGGAAGGUAGAAUUCCCGGUGUAGCGGUGAAAUGCGUAGAGAUCGGGAGGAAUACCAGUGGCGAAGGCGGCCUUCUGGACUGACACUGACACUGAGGUGCGAAAGCGUGGGUAGCAAACAGGAUUAGAUACCCUAGUAGUC